This is a non-coding RNA of Mycena rebaudengoi, 85 nucleotides long. NCBI's taxonomy places the organism in Eukaryota, Fungi, Basidiomycota, Agaricomycetes, Agaricales, Mycenaceae. The record is from the annotation of a GenBank genome assembly.
GGCGUCAUAGCUCAGUUGGGAGAGCAGCAGACUGAAGACGUUUCAGUCCAUCUGAAGGUCCCGUGUUCAAGCCACGGUGAUGCCA